GAAGGCCCAAAUAUGCAAAGGGUGGCCGGCCAUGGUAAUUAAAAUGGCCCAAGCCCACAAUAAAUUUAACUCAUGUAUUAAUAAGAAGAUGAUCCAUAAUUCUUUCCUUUUCAAGAAGUUUCAAGAACAUAAAAUUGAGAGGAAAAAGAAAGAAGGCCUACGGCCAAGAAGAGAAAGAGAAAAGAAAAGAAAAAAAAAUUCUUGGAGUUAAAUCCUUGGUUCAAAAAUUCAUUUCUUGUGGGAUUAUUACUAAGUGCAAGAUUCUCUACAACUUGGUACAAUUAUUUUGGCAAGAAACUAUCUUUGGUAGCAAGGAGAAUUUGUUGGUAAAAAGAUUCUGGACGAGAUUGGAAUCGAAGCCAAGCGAGCGUAAGGCGCAAUCGAGGUACAGACGCACCUGAAGAUACGCCGCCAGUCUAGGGCUCAGAUUCUGCUAUUUUGAAGAGCUCC
Lycium barbarum (goji berry) is the source of this 450-nucleotide long non-coding RNA. RefSeq lists it as uncharacterized. The record is from RefSeq and is a predicted model, not a curated record. The transcript has 3 exons. NCBI's taxonomy places the organism in Eukaryota, Viridiplantae, Streptophyta, Magnoliopsida, Solanales, Solanaceae.